This 124-nucleotide ribosomal RNA is filed under the name uncultured archaeon. RNAcentral's name for it is "partial 16S ribosomal RNA". It matches the Rfam family "Archaeal small subunit ribosomal RNA", at positions 799 to 922 of the family's 1478-position model. The record is from RNAcentral.
UGCCGAAGGGAAACCGUGAAACGUGCCGCCUGGGAAGUACGGUCGCAAGGCUGAAACUUAAAGGAAUUGGCGGGGGAGCACCACAAGGGGUGAAGCUUGCGGUUUAAUUGGAGUCAACGCCGGA